GCCGAUGUGGCUCAGGGGUAGAGCAGCUCACUCGUAAUGAGCAGGUCGCCGGUUCGAAUCCGGCCAUCGGCU
This 72-nucleotide transfer RNA is filed under the name Heliophilum fasciatum. It matches the Rfam family "tRNA". Rfam says of the family: Transfer RNA (tRNA) molecules are approximately 80 nucleotides in length. Their secondary structure includes four short double-helical elements and three loops (D, anti-codon, and T loops). Lineage: Bacteria; Bacillati; Bacillota; Clostridia; Eubacteriales; Heliobacteriaceae. The record is from Rfam by way of RNAcentral.